Long non-coding RNA from Betta splendens (Siamese fighting fish), 2942 nucleotides. RefSeq lists it as uncharacterized. The transcript has 2 exons. Lineage: Eukaryota; Metazoa; Chordata; Actinopteri; Anabantiformes; Osphronemidae. The record is from RefSeq and is a predicted model, not a curated record.
CCUACAUGACGACCCACCAACCCUCUGCUUUGAUUCUCUGCCAGCUGUUUCUGGAUUCUGGGCCUCGUGGUCUGUGUCUGACUGUUGGAUGCAGAACCUCCUGUGGUGUUUGUGGACCUGUGGUUUCUAUUGGUGAUUGGUUUGUGCUCGGCUCAUCGCUCUCAGUCUUCAGGAUCCAGACUCCAGUUUUAAUGGAUGGAAGCUUUGUGUGUAAAUCAUAGUAUUUGUUGUCACAGCAGUCAGUCAUCAAGCAUCUGUUAGUGUGACGUGUUGUUAGACUCACCUUCAGUCUCUGCUGCUGCUGCUGCUGCGUUUCAACACUGAAGCAUCAACACUCGUAAGUGAAGUGAACUGAGUCACCAUCAGUUUGAGUGAGUUCAUAGAACAAGCCUUCCUGUCAGAAUCACACAGGAAACAGCUGGUUUUACACAGGUUUAAAUUGUGCAUUUGUAACAAACAUUUAACAGCAAGGUCACAAAUAUUUAUCAUGAAUUCUCUGUAUUUAUGUUCAAACUCAACAGUUUUAAUUGUACAGAUGUAAAAACACUGUCACACUUUGGCGGAUGAAGGUUUUACAGGACGUGUGUAAAUGAUUAUUAGUAGAAUAAAAAAAAGUAGUAGAUUAAAAGCAGAUCAGAUGUGAUGAAGCUGCUGCGUUUCUACCUGCUCCUCUUCACUGUCUAUCUUGUCCAGGUCAGUCAUCCACCCACAACCAUCUGCCUUCUAUCUUUGAUUCCUGAUCAUCGAUCAUUUUUCUUCUAACUCUGUACUCAAGGAACCACUAGUCAAUGAUGGUGUUUUCUGUUCACCCCUGAAUCAGUGUGUUAUUCCAACAGCAGAUGGCGCAGUUUCACUAUUUUAUCAGGAUCUCUGUACUUGCCCUGCAACCGUUCUCUCUCUCUCUUUUGUUUUCACCAUCACCCCAGCUCUGGACCACUCACUGAACUCAUCGAUUAAGACAACUCGUCACUCCUGUGCCUUCCCUUCAGCCUCUCUUUAUCUGCUCACAGCCUGUCAGUCUGUGCUGGGCCGUUGUUUGACUGUGAUGGCUUUCUGUGCCACGUAGAGAGGGACCUGAGGGCGGUUAAUGCCUGGACGUGACUCUUUCAGCUGGUAGACUAAUCAUUAUUGAACUUCCAUUUGGGGAGGUUGCUCUCUGCAUUCUGACCCGUCCUCUGAGGGAGCAGAGAGGGAGCAGAGCUUCCACCCCCCACCAACAGAGCCACCGAGCUCAGCAUUCGACCAUGUCCGUGCUCCUCUGUGUUUGCUAGCUUUGCUAGCUGUGUCAGAGCUAGGACAUGUUAGACAUGCACCCUUAGAGUCCUGUGAGCCGCACGGUGUAGAACACAGCACACGUGCAUUGUUUAAGUCAUAGUCAGUGUCAUGUUUAGGAUGUUUUGCUUUGUUGAUGUGCACGAUCAACAUCCAUGUUUUUGAUUUGCUUUCCCCAUUAUUUUUAUUUUCCUUUAUUUUUAUAAUAAAUCACACAAAAGACAACUCUCUCGUCUGCCUCUUUAAGGAAAACUUCCACCAGAUUUCUAGCGUCCACAAACAGGGUCCGCUGCAGGUGGUCUGGACGGUGUGACCAGUGACGAUAGUCCCGAGGACUCGGGUCGCUCAGCCUCCAAACCUCUACAGACGUUCAGAGCAGGAAGGACUGCUCACCCGCCUGGAUCGUCUCCGACGAGAUCCACAAACUCAAAUUCAAACUCAAAUUUUAAGUUGGCUCGGCCCGGUUUAUGUGGUGAUUGAUUGGAUUUGGAAAAAAAAAAAGAUUGGAACUCUUUGUUUUUAAUUUGGCUUUAACCUUUUUAUUGGUUGGAAAAAAAUCCACUAUUUGGUUGAAAUAUUAAAUUAUAAUAAAUAGAAAAAUUGAUUAGGUUAAAAUAAAAAUCACAAUAAUACAGUUUCUUAAUCAGGUCAAAGUCUGCAUUUGCAGAGUGAGGUUUUUUUCAAGAUACAGUACGAGGGACCCAGGUCUUAGAGAGGCCUGAAGGUGUGGAAAUGCUUCGAGAAAGACUCAAAAAGGAGUCGCCAGAUCAGGUUGGUUCCCUUUUUACGGAGACGUUCGAUAAAAAAGGACUUUGGGGAAUGUUCCGGCCAGAAACACAAAAAAAAUCUAAGGCAGGAAACCUCUGGAAGACGGGUUGGGGGCAACCUCUGCUCCUCCUAAUGCAGAACUGAGCGCGAUGAGGGUAAAUCCGGAUCUGGACUCCUUUCCCACCAUCAGCAGAAGAACCGAAGGAGAAGAAGCGCCGACCAACAACCAGAACAGGGUGGAAGCUCUGACACCACAGCAGCUGGAGGACACAGACCACAGCAUGGACGCCUCAGCAACUCCACAACGUCUGCAGCCAUUGUGGUGGAAAUUUUCCAUAAAGAAGUAGAUGAGAGAGUUGUCCUUUUGUGCGAUUUAUUGAAAUAAUAAAGAAAAUAAAAAUAAUGGGGAAAGCAAAUAAAAAGCAUGGAUGUUGAUCGUGCACAUCAACAAACCAAAAACCAGCUGGGGAGAUCAGUGCACACACCACGAAGGUGUGAUGCAAAGAGCCCACGAUCCUCAAGUUGCUUCUGCCUUUUAACCCCUUUCUCUGGCUCUGGUGGAAUGUCUCUCUGCAGCAAUGGAAUUGUUUGCGCCACCUUAUCUCGCUGUGAGUGAGAAUGUUUGCUUUCUCACUUCUGCAUCGUCAUGUCUUGUUAUCCAAAGGAAGGAACACCGAGCUUCCAAGACAAGAUGCAUUUGCUUUAACAGCCUUGGGUCUGGUGGGGAGUCAGAUAGGAUGGAGCCAGAGUCCGGGUGUAAAAGACAAACAUAUAUCAGAAAUUAUUAGUCAGUCAAAUGGAGCAUCAGAUGUUUAGACUUGAUGUACGUCAGGGCACAAGAGAUUAUUUGUUUGUGUAAGAAUGUUCAGUAUUGCACCUAACCAGCACAUGACGAGUGUGUU